This is a small nucleolar RNA of Artibeus jamaicensis (Jamaican fruit-eating bat), 198 nucleotides long. RefSeq annotates it as small nucleolar RNA SNORA73 family. The record is from RefSeq and is a predicted model, not a curated record. Lineage: Eukaryota; Metazoa; Chordata; Mammalia; Chiroptera; Phyllostomidae. The transcript has a single exon.
CCAGUGUGAAUAUCCCCAAGCGGUCACUGUCCCUGGGCCCUGUCCAGGCGCCACAGGGGAGGAGCACAGGGCUCUCACCGAUACACAACCCCUUUCCACGUCGGAGAGAACGCCAGGCCUUGAGUCUGACUGCAUAUUCGUGUAGCUUCUCAGAGUCCCGGACAAUGACUGAGGAGACAAACCAUAAAGGGAACAUCU